GAUGAAGAACGUAGCGAAAUGCGAUAAGUAAUGUGAAUUGCAGAAUUCAGUGAAUCAUCGAAUCUUUGAACGCACAUUGCGCCCCUUGGUAUUCCGAGGGGCAUGCCUGUUCGAGCGUCAUUUGUACCCUCAAGCUUUGCUUGGUGUUGGGCGUCUUGUCUCUAGCUUUGCUGGAGACUCGCCUUAAAGUAAUUGGCAGCCGGCCUACUGGUUUCGGAGCGCAGCACAAGUCGCACUCUCUAUCAGCAAAGGUCUAGCAUCCAUUAAGCCUUUUUUUCAACUUUUGACCUCGGAUCAGGUAGGGAUACCCGCUGAACUUAAGCAUAUCAAUAAGCGGAGGA
This 341-nucleotide unclassified non-coding RNA is filed under the name soil metagenome. RNAcentral describes it as "partial contains 5.8S ribosomal RNA, internal transcribed spacer 2, and large subunit ribosomal RNA". The stretch from base 1 to 120 matches the Rfam family "5.8S ribosomal RNA", at positions 35 to 154 of the family's 154-position model. The record is from RNAcentral.